This 253-nucleotide ribosomal RNA is filed under the name uncultured bacterium. RNAcentral's name for it is "partial 16S ribosomal RNA". It matches the Rfam family "Bacterial small subunit ribosomal RNA", at positions 524 to 776 of the family's 1533-position model. The record is from RNAcentral.
UACGUAGGGGGCAAGCGUUGUCCGGAAUCAUUGGGCGUAAAGAGCGUGUAGGCGGCCCGGUAAGUCCGCUGUGAAAGUCCAGGGUUCAACCCUGGAAUGCCGGUGGAAACUGUCGGGCUAGAGUCCGGAAGAGGCGAGUGGAAUUCCUGGUGUAGCGGUGAAAUGCGUAGAUAUCGAGAGGAACACCUGCGGCGAAGGCGGGUUGCUGGGCUGACACUGACGCUGAAGCGCGAAAGCUAGGGGAGCGAACGGG